RNAcentral lists this ribosomal RNA (498 nucleotides) under uncultured bacterium. RNAcentral's name for it is "partial 16S ribosomal RNA". It matches the Rfam family "Bacterial small subunit ribosomal RNA", at positions 30 to 507 of the family's 1533-position model. The record is from RNAcentral.
CGAACGCUGGCGGCGUGCUUAACACAUGCAAGUCGAACGGGUCUGCCCUGUUUUUUGCGGGGUGGGUCAGUGGCGAACGGGUGAGUAACACGUGAGUAACCUGCCCCUCACUUCUGGAUAACCGCUUGAAAGGGUGGCUAAUACGGGGUGUUCUGGCUGUGCCGCAUGGUGUGGCUGGGAAAGAUUCACUUUUGUGGUGUUUUGGUGGGGGAUGGGCUCGCGGCCUAUCAGCCUGUUGGUGGGGUGAUGGCCUGCCAAGGCUUUGACGGGUAGCCGGCCUGAGAGGGUGGGCGGUCACACUGGGACUGAGAUACGGCCCAGACUCCUGCGGGAGGCAGCAGUGGGGGGUAUUGCACAAUGGGCGGAAGCCUGAUGCAGCGACGUCGCGUGAGGGAUGGAGGCCUUCGGGUUGUGAACCUCUUUCGCCGGUGAAGAAGGUCCUGCUCUUUGUGGUGGGGUUGACGGUAGCCGGGUUAUGAAGCGCCGGCUAACUACGUG